CAUUCCUCCAAACGCAAUUAUUCCUGGCGGAAAUUGUAUUGAUACGGGAUGCGACGCCGACCGCAUGCGAUCUCUGGCGGUGGCACGGAGCACGCGAGGCGAGGCGCAGACGGUGGCGGGGCGAACGGAGGUGCGCAUGCACAGAGUGGAGCGGGGAAGGUGGGAUGUCCUCUUGUGGGUAAGAGGGCAGAUUAACAAUUUAUUAAAAUAUAAUCAAAUUUUGGCGGAAAUGACGGACAUUGCCGCACAGGAACAAGUCAAAGAAGUUAUUUCUCUAUUUUACUGUUGGGAAGUGAAGGGAUAAGUUUUGGAGCAGGG
Molecule: long non-coding RNA, 318 nt
Filed under: Androctonus crassicauda
Lineage: Eukaryota; Metazoa; Arthropoda; Arachnida; Scorpiones; Buthidae
Source: RNAcentral